GGGGGCGAAUGGCUUCGACCGGAUGUCGGAGAUUCAGGUUGCAUGUCCAGGAUGCCGGUUGGCCUGGUUAAUCAUCCGGUACUUAAACCUAAUUGGCAACUAUCAGUUGCGCAUGGCCGCCUAAUUAGGCGACCCGUCCUGCCGGGCUUUGCCUGUGGGUCCGGCAAGGGCGUCAAACAGCAGGCUGGCUGAGUCGGGCUUCCGGACCGAUGAGGCGAGAACCUCCCGGAAUAGUCGAAUCAAGAGCCUGUCGCUCGGCGCUUGGUGAGGUGAAUCUCAAUGGAGCGACUACACAUGUAGACGCCUGGUUCAAAGCAUCACGGGACGGGGGUUCGAAUCCCCCCGCCUCCAUUG
Molecule: transfer-messenger RNA, 354 nt
Filed under: Phycisphaerales bacterium
Lineage: Bacteria; Pseudomonadati; Planctomycetota; Phycisphaerae; Phycisphaerales
Also listed under: 1 other name
Rfam family: transfer-messenger RNA
About the family: Bacterial tmRNA, also known as 10Sa RNA or SsrA, is named for its dual tRNA and mRNA-like properties. Its role is to liberate the mRNA from a stalled ribosome.
Source: RNAcentral